AUGCUGAUCGACAGUACGAUAUGCACGUACUUAGCUACGAUCCUCAGCAUUGCACGUACGUCAGUAUAUGUGCACUAAGUAACUACUGGAGGGCAAGUCCUGGUGCCAGCAGCCGCGGUAAUUCCAGCUCCAGUCGUGUGCUUUAAAGUCCUUAGCAGCACUCGCAUGCGCAUUUAGCUAGCCGUACAUGAUUAUGCUAGCUAACUGAAGGUUGUUGCGUUUAAAACGCUCGUAGUUGGAUCACGCAGUGACAUCGGGUUAUCUACCGGUUACGCAAACAAACUGUCUGUAGUUGUGCACAACGCACGUUGUGUUGCGAUUACACGAUGGGCCUAGCUGUGGAUAAAAUGGCUCGACGUCACUAUUUGCACGCAAGUAUGUUAAUUGACCUUUAAUGCGUUGAAUAUCAUGUCUUGCGGAGUGUGCCUUGAAUAAAACAGAGUGCUCAAAGCAGGCAAUAGCUUGAAUGUUAUAGCAUGGAACGAACAAACGUGUGAUAGUGCAUGUUUGGCUACGGCGAUGGAUCUUUGGUUCGUUGCUGCGGUCAACGUGCAUAGCACCUACCAAAAUACGGAUGUUGGUUCUGUAUACGGUGAUGAUUAAAAGGAGCGGUUGGGGGCAUUGGUAUUUGACCGCGAGAGGUGAAAUUCUUAGACCGGUCAAGGACUAACAAAUGCGAAGGCACUUGUCUAGACCGUUUCCAUUAAUCAAGAACGAAAGUGGGAGGUUCGAAGACGAUCAGAUACCGUCCUAGUUCCCACUGUAAACUAUGCCGACCCGGGAUUAGGCUGGAGAUGUUACUUGCUCCGGUUUGGUCCCACUGGGAAACCUUAAGUUUUUCGGUUACGGGGAGAGUAUGGUCGCAAGGCUGAAACUUAAAGGAAUUGACGGAAGGGCACCACCAGGGGUGGAGCCUGCGGCUUAAUUUGACUCAACACGGGGAAACUUACCUGGUCCGGACAUCGAUAGGAUAGACAGACUGAUAGAUCUUUCUUGAUGCGAUGAGUGGUGGUGCAUGGCCGUUCUUAGUUCGUGGAGUGAUCUGUCAGGAUAUGCGCACGUCGUAGUACAUACAGUGUCAGCUUUAUGCAUCGCAUGCAUGACUAGCAUUUGCAUACGAGCUCGCUGGCAAAUCUGACUAUUCGUUGGGUGUUGAUGUUGGGAGUAAUCACAGUGUUGGCAUUCAGCGGAGAAGGCUUUUUUCCCUUCCGUUAAGCAGUUUCUGGCUCCGGUUGGAGGCUGCCUUAUGGAGAGACAACGAGGUAUAUAUAAGCUCGAGGAAGAGUGGCUAUAACAGGUCAGUGAUGCCCUUCGAUGUUCAGGGCCGCACGCGCGCUACAAUGAUGACGACAGCAAGUGUCUGGGUUGAAAAACUUGGGUAAUCUUAAAUCGUCAUCGUGAUGGGGAUUGACCGUUGUAACUAUCGGUCAUGAAAGAGGAAUCCCUAGUAUAUGUAUUUUAUUAGAAUACAUAGACUUAGUCCCUGCCCUUUGUACACACCGCCCGUCGCUACUACCGAGUGAAUGGUGUCAUGAUGCCUGCGUCUGAGCAUAUGCACUGACAAUUUCUAGCAUGACUAGCUAAGCAUGAUAUUUUCGAUGCAUCACGUAUGCAUGUCAGUUUACUGACUAGCUAGACUGACGAUCUAGCAAUAUUUGCUAGCUAGCUCAGCAUGCAGUCAUGCAUGCAUAUGCACGUGCAGAUCGUAGCAUGAC
RNAcentral lists this ribosomal RNA (1715 nucleotides) under Myxobolus sp. k SAD-2020. RNAcentral's name for it is "SSU rRNA". It matches the Rfam family "Eukaryotic small subunit ribosomal RNA". Lineage: Eukaryota; Metazoa; Cnidaria; Myxozoa; Bivalvulida; Myxobolidae. The record is from RNAcentral.